ACAGGUCUCUCAGGGGGAGAGUUCCCACUUGCUCCUUAACCUGGCUGGGAACGUGGGGGCAGCAGGAGCAGGGUGGGUCCCCUGGCCAGCAAGCAGUUUCUCGAGCUCCCUCUAAUUUAAACAAGCAGCAUCCAUGGGGGCAGGGGGUGUGCGUGCAUCAUUUUCCUUCCUAUUUACACCCGUAAGCAGCAGGUAUUUCCGCUGUGAGAAAUUUCCUUCCAAGCGCGGUGAUACAGAAAGCUCAGGUUUCCUCCCACGGGGUCGAGUGAGCGAGGCGGGCAGCGCGGAUCAGCUGAUGCCCGCGUUAGUCAGACUUUCUGCGUCUGCCUCAAGAAACGACUUGCUUGCAGCCCUGCCGAGGCAGGAAAUGUGACCCUGCCGGCCACUUUGCUAUGCUUGCUGAACCUGGAGGGAACUUGCUUUCAGCCCCUCUGUUCCCCUUCAGAUUUGUCUUCCAUCUUCGCCUUGCCCCAGCCCUCCUUCACGUGCUCCCGGCCGGGCAUCGCCUGCAAGGCACGGGGAGAGCUGCAGCCCCGGUGCAUCGCUUGCGCAAGGACGAGGCAGAGCUUGCUGUGCCUCCCUCCCUGUGGGAUGCGCUUCCUCCCGAGGAAAUCCCCCGCUGCGAGGCAUCCUGGGAGCCCAGCCCUGUGGAUUUUAAAAGGCAGACAGAAAAUGCUGCCCGGUACCGGAGGACACCUAUGGGUGUUGAGAAAGCCCUAGGAAAGAAGCAAAUGUUUCAGUUAGGGAUAAGGAAAAGGAAAACGCGGUCCUUCCUGCUCCUCGGCUCUGUGGUUUGUCUGAGCUUGCUUCCUUGGGAUACGUCAGGGCUUGAUCUGUAAAAAAAAAAGAUAUCUAAAACGUGUAAAAUCUUAACUGUUCCGGCGAUGGCAGCGUAAUCUGCAUUUUAUCAUGUAAAUUGUCAAAGCACAGCUCUAUCUGCUGCCCAAGGACUGCAGGAAAUGUACAGGCACUUGUGUAAAUGUAUAGAGGAAGGGAUGCUUUGCAGGGCUGGUGGGUGGGGGGAAGAUGGCUCUUGCUGCAGCUUUCAGUUCGUGGAUCACAGCUGGAUAGCUCAGCAAGCCUGGCUCUCCUGUGUCACCGUUCUGCAAGUUCCCAGGGCUCCUGUCCCUGCCGUGAGUGUGUCCCCGAACUGCUCACAGCCCAGUUGUGCAAGCCUUGGGAGCUGAGAGGUUUCCAGAGCUCUUUUAAUGAACUAGUAAAUGCUGGUGGCAUUUACUAGCAGAGUCAGCGAGCUGGGUCCUUUGGCUGCAUUUUUUCUCCAAACAGCCACAGGGAUCGCAGUGUUCAUGUUUUGCCUCUAAAUCCCCAUGACUUUGGCCAGUUAGGGGAUGUGGUUGGGUGAAUCUGACAGCAAGAGACAAAACAAUUUCUUUGAGAACCUUGAGGGGAGCCAAGGCUGUGCCAGAGCCUGACCAAGGCAGGAGGCAGCAGCACAGCGGGGCACAACCCGCAGCUGGGGAGCUGUCAGGCAGGACUUUAACUCUGUGCAAAAUGGGAAUUUUCCUCUUUCCCAGAUUUGCAAAAGAUUUUGCAAACCCUUGUGGCAGUUUAGGUAGCGUGGGAGUGCAUCCAUCACCGUGUUCACAACAACCACACUUUGUAGCACUUAAACCAGAUCCUUUCCCUCACCUUUAUUAUUUCUGGUGCACAAGGUGAGUGACAAGACACGGGACUCUGGUACUUCACCUGACUUACUUUACUUUGCUUGUUGAAGGACCUGCAGAAAGCUGUCAAGAGAGCAGGAUGAGCCUUCCAUUGCUCGGUUACACCAACAGGACUCCUCUGGCAGCUGUGCUAUGCCAUGCCCGAGGAUGCAACCUGCUUUUAGGGCAGGCUCCAUAAUUUCUCCUAGGCUGCGAGUGUUGCACAGGUGCAGAACAGCUUGCAGAAGAAUGUGGGGCAGCGCUGCCGAAACUGGGUGCAAGUUUGUUGUGCUGGCUUUGUUUGUUUUUUUCACCUCAGCGAUAAUUCUUACCAGCGUGCAAUCUCUGUUCUAUGUACUUUACAACUCCUCGUGAUUUACCGUGGUAAUCGAGAACUUAAAACAGAAGCCCGGCCCUGAACCUUUUCACUACAAGGAAAACAAGACCUUUGCACUGUCGGCUGAGCUCAGAGCCUCCAUCCAUGGCUCAGCCUCUUCUCAGGUGCAAAGAGCCCCAAAGUCCACAGAAAUCAAAGUCAUGCUGAUGGCAGAGCGUUUUUCACUGUAGUAGGCGGAGACGAGAGCUUCACUAUGACACGAGAUCUCUCCUGUCGACCUCCUCGUAAAAAAAAAAAAAAAAAAGAGAAGGCACCCAACUGGUGGAAACAAGAGUAUAAAUGCCAGGAUCACCAACAACAUGCCGGCCAUGGCUCAAAGUACAAUCAGUGAUGGAUUGGGCAUGUGACUCACAGAGAAAUAGAAGACCGGCUGUAUUCGUUUGUAUGACCCAAAAGGGUGCUGCCUGCUGAUCAGACCCAAGCGUGGGAAAGCCUGGCCGCUGGCUGAAAAGGCCGGUCACGUCAUGUUCUGCAGCUGGCAUUCAAACGCAUCCUGGUGAAUCAGGCGAUAGCAGCUACCUUUCCUGCUACGACGGCAGCUGAGCAGGAGCAGAGGCGCUGCGAAAACCUCCCUCCUGCAUCGACAGCACGGGGAAGGGAGGAAUGAAGGUUGUCAAUGAGCUUGGUGCGGCAGGAUGGCAAUUCUGGGGGGCCUUUGGCGUGGCACCAGACUAAAGGAAAAGGGUACAAGCAGGCUUUGACUGUGGGUGUUGGUGGCAGGCUUGCUCAGAGCAAGCCCACCUGCGCAUCACAGGCUGCUCGGGCAGACCCUGGCCGUGCCCUUCUGAUGCACAGUGGGGAAGGAGAACCUCGUGGGCUGACUGCCACUCCAAGAAUUGCUAUCAAAAAAUGUGGUCUGUCUCCAAGUUAGCACAGACUCAGCAGAUUUGAUGGGCGAGCAUGCUCCAAAGGGAUGGUUAAGAUGUGUUAUUUGCCUAUUGCGUGCUGCAAAAAUAAAUAUCCAAAGCAUGAGAGAACAAACUUUGGCAAACAAAGCGUCAACAAGCUGUGUUUGUGGGGGAAGGCUUGUAAUUUGUAGGGAACGUCGAGCUGGAAGGGAACACUGAGUAUAAAUAAGGAUAAAGUUUACCUUAAGCAGGCAUGAAGGCAGGGCUAUGAGCACAGCUUGGACUUUGCCAUUCUUCCGGUGAGACAACGGUUUGUGACACGUCUGCUAUCUCGUGCUCUCUGAUGUGGCCUCACUGCAGAAAGAUACCAGCCACUGCAGGAAGGUUUUUCAAUAAUAAGGCAUUUUUUUGGGGGGGGGGGGGGCACACCUAGUUUAUCGGUUUAUGAGUGACCAGGGAGACUGUGAAUUCCCACAGAUGAAAGGAAACCCCACAGUCACAUCUUAGUAGUAAAACACAGUAAAACUUUUAGCUGAAGUUUUGCUGCCUCUAGAUCACAAAUCUUUCUGAUCUCCUCUGGGUCUGAGAGUGGACAAAUGGUAUACGUGGUGCAUUGCUGGCAUGCUAUUCAUAUGGUUGUGAGGCUUAUACACUGAAAUAUGUUAAAAUGCCAGCAUUGGCUGGUACAGCCGAGAGCAGUAACUCCAUCUGGAAACACUGCUACAGGAUUUGCUGACUGUUGUUAUGACACGGACUGGGAAAACCCAGCCAGAAGGCAGGGUGAAGGGAAGCCCAGCCACUUCUGCUCAGCACCGCAGAGAUAUUUCGGCCGUCCCUGGAGAUGAGCACGGCGCUGAGGGAGCUUGCGUGGCAAAACACAGAGCAGCGCAGAGCUGCUCCAGGCCUCGUUGGCCACUGCCCGCCCAACAUCUGCCACCCCCGGCGGGGUUUGGCCAGCCCCCGUGCAGAAGUGCCUUCGGAGGUUUUCCUGAGGAUCAGGGGUGCAAUGACGGUGGGUUUUGGCCUGUGAGGAGCCCUGUGCUGAGGGCACUGCCAGGGCUCUGCGCCCGCGAUGUGACAGGAUCGGUCUUGGGCUAUGAGCACUAAGAGAGAAACAGGCCGCUGGCUGGGCCUUUAUCCUCUGCCCCCCUCAAGUGAAGCCUUUUGGCAGUUCCGGGCGAGUGAAUUUGUAUUGAAAACCCACAGCUCUUACAAGCAGUGCAUUAAUUGUUUUAUUAAUUUGCUCUUUUUACAUUAUGGGAAACAUUCAUCUAUUUACAUUUUCCUGUCCACACACAAACUAGAUAGAUAAUCCUAUGAAAACCCAAAUCAUUAAGCCAUAAAAACACUCUCCUCUGUCUAAAGACUUUCAAAUUUGUGUCUUUUGUUUCAAAUCAAAAACAUUUUUAAAAUCACAUUUGGGAAUGCAGGUAGGCCAGUGAUUUACAUUCCAAUUACUUAAAAUAUCCAUUUGACCUUUUUCCUUAAAAAAAAAAAAUCAAAAAAAGAAACAACCAAAAAAAACAAUAAAUUCACAAAGAUACAGUUCAAAUUAAAAUGAUAGUGCACAUCAAAGCAUUAAGGGAAUACCAAUAAAUAAACUGAAAUAUAUUACAAAUAAAUUAUUUCUAUUUACCUUUUCAAAUAUUAAAAAUCUUUAAUCCAUUUCUUCAUCUUUCUUUACAAAAGAUUAUGAGAAUUUUAUGGAAACAUCUGCAAAAAAUAUAAUAAAUACUUUUUUUUUUUUUUUCUUUUUAACUUUUGAAGCAGGAGACAAAACCAACCUUUUCUAAAAUUUCCCCGAGGAAAAAAAAAAAAGAAA
This is a long non-coding RNA of Oxyura jamaicensis (ruddy duck), 4731 nucleotides long. RefSeq lists it as uncharacterized. NCBI's taxonomy places the organism in Eukaryota, Metazoa, Chordata, Aves, Anseriformes, Anatidae. The record is from RefSeq and is a predicted model, not a curated record. The transcript is spliced from 2 exons.